RNAcentral lists this long non-coding RNA (462 nucleotides) under Musa acuminata (dwarf banana). RNAcentral describes it as "long non-coding RNA (MACU_LNC009729)". Lineage: Eukaryota; Viridiplantae; Streptophyta; Magnoliopsida; Zingiberales; Musaceae. The record is from RNAcentral.
AAUAGAUGAAUCUUUUCUGCAGCCUUUGAGCAGCAACUUGGAGGGAGGAACCCCUAUAGAGUUCCAAGGAGGCCGAUCCCCUAAAGAGAUCAACCCCAAGUUUAGAAUCUGCAAGGGUUCUAACACCUGGUAUCAGAGCAGCGUUCUUGGCGUCUCGGUGCCCUUCCACAGCCAUCCAUCAACCCUCUACAAUCAUCCAAAGCAAUUCCCACAAUUGCUUAAAAGAUCGUCACCGAAUUCCGCCAUCAUCUCCACCAUCGCGGAUCAUCCUUUGAUCUCCCCGUGAAUUGCAACAGGUUCUGGUUUCCUACCUUACUGCUGCUGCAAUUUAGUUAUCCUUAUUCAAAAAUAAAAAAAAAAAAAUCGUUCUUAUAUUGCUGCAUAAACUUUUCGUCACAAAGUUUUCAUCUCUACGACGAAAGAUACAUUGCAGAAUUCCAGCCGCAUAGCACCAUCUAUUUG